ACUCAAAUGAAUUGACGGGGACUCGCACAAGCAGUGGAGCAUGUGGUUUAAUCCGAUACGACGCGUAGAACCUUACCAAGGCUUGACAUGUUUGGCAAAACUAGGGAAACCUAGCGGAGGUUAUCCAAACACAGGUGCUGCAUGGCCGUCGUCAGUUCGUGCCGUGAGGUGUAUGGUUAAGUCCUAUAACGAACGCAACCCUUGGGCUUAGUUACCAGCAUUCAGUUGGGGACUCUGAGCCGACUGCCUGAGUAAUCAGGAGGAAGGAAAGGAUGACGUCUGGUCGUCAUGGCCCUUAUGCCUUGGGCGACACACGUGCUACAAUGGUUAGGACAAAGCGUUGCCAACCCGCGAGGGGGAGCUAAUCGCAAAAAACUAACCUCAGUUCAGAUUGGAGGCUGCAACUCGCCUCCAUGAAGGCGGAAUUGCUAGUAAUCGCAAAUCAGCCAUGUUGCGGUGAAUACGUUCUCGAGUCUUGUACACACCGCCCGU
Molecule: ribosomal RNA, 492 nt
Filed under: uncultured bacterium
Lineage: Bacteria
Description: partial 16S ribosomal RNA
Rfam family: Bacterial small subunit ribosomal RNA
Source: RNAcentral